This 466-nucleotide ribosomal RNA is filed under the name uncultured bacterium. RNAcentral's name for it is "bacterial SSU rRNA". It matches the Rfam family "Bacterial small subunit ribosomal RNA", at positions 338 to 795 of the family's 1533-position model. The record is from RNAcentral.
CCUACGGGUGGCUGCAGUGAGGAAUAUUGCGCAAUGGGGGAAACCCUGACGCAGCGACGCCGCGUGAGUGAGGAAGGUUUUCGGAUCGUAAAGCUCUGUCAGAAGGGAAGAAGUGUUAUGUGGUUAACACCCAUGUAAUUUGACGGUACCUUCAGAGGAAGCACCGGCUAACUCCGUGCCAGCAGCCGCGGUAAUACGGAGGGUGCAAGCGUUGUUCGGAAUUACUGGGCGUAAAGGGCGCGUAGGCGGCCUGAUAAGUCAGAUGUGAAAGUCCACGGCUCAACCGUGGAAGUGCAUUUGAAACUGUCAGGCUUGAGUAUCGGAGGGGAAAGUGGAAUUCCCGGUGUAGAGGUGAAAUUCGUAGAGAUCGGGAGGAACACCGGUGGCGAAGGCGACUUUCUGGACGAAUACUGACGCUGAGGCGCGAAAGCGUGGGGAGCAAACAGGAUUAGAUACCCUGGUAGUC